UCUCCGUUGGUGAACCAGCGGAGGGAUCAUUACAGGACUCGCAAGACUCCUUCACCCUGUGAACCUCACUACAAGCACGUUGCUUCGGCGGGUGUCCCGGCGGGGGUUUUCCCUCGCCGGGGCGCAUAGCCCGCCGGCAGCCUACUAUACUCUGUCUCUUUGCGUUGGCAUCUCGAGAAAAAACAAACAAGUUAAAACUUUCAACAACGGAUCUCUUGGUUCUG
RNAcentral lists this unclassified non-coding RNA (224 nucleotides) under plant metagenome. RNAcentral describes it as "partial contains small subunit ribosomal RNA, internal transcribed spacer 1, and 5.8S ribosomal RNA". The record is from RNAcentral.